UGAACCGGCAACCCUCCGACUGCCAGACAAUCGGUCUUACCUCCUGAGCUAUGUCGCCCCUGUACGAAUGAUUUGAAUCCAUCAGAUCAACUAGUGCUUUUAUUUUAUGUAAUGUGUUACAUGGCAACUGAUUUGAUUAGAAAGGGUCGCUUUUUAAAUUUUAUUGACUGAACUCAAUGAAAUGUCAAUGAAAUGACUUGCUUGUGGAGCACUUUGUGUCACAUUUGUGUAUGAAAGGUGGCAUACAAGUAAAGCACAGGUGUCAAACUUAAGUCCUGGUUCAUUUAAGCCGCUGAUUGGCUAAGGGAUCCGCACGGCUUAUUCUCAAGGCCUUAAUUGGCAGCUCGUUUAAAGAAAAACACGAAAACCCUCAGACACUGUGGCCUCUUUGGGAUUCAGUUUGAUGCCCUUGAAUUAAAGUUCAAGGGCAUCAAACUGAACUCUAUGAGUUGUCGCACUAUUUUGAGACAGUAUGACAGUCAGCGUUACUGUGAUAUAUUUAAAGUCACACAAAAAAAAAACUAAAAGGAAUUAAUUUGGACUGUUCUAUCUCCAUUGCGGCUUGUGAAUUUUGUGAUUGGUUUUUCAGUUCACAAACUCAAUGCAGCGAAAGAUGUGGACAUCUUGUAGAAUGGUACGGGCUCCUUUUCCCCAGAGUGCAUGACAAGAAUGUUUUUCCCGGAGCGUAGGGCUUCAGGUGCCAAGCUUCAGAGAAGUUUUACCUGCGGCAGGUGUGAAGUGGCCUCUCAAAUAAGCACACGUCCCAGCUGCUGUUUCCUGUGGAACUGGGAACAACACUGCAGCAAACCAGAGAGCCAGUGACGAGACACUGAAAAAUAAAAGAGGCAAUGGCAACGAGAAGUGAGCGUCAGGUCAUAAAACACGUUCCCCACACAAAAAACAAGCCGGGGCCCAGUCACUGAGGAGUGGCCCACGCACUGGCUACCUGUGUAGGAUCUAUUUACAGGUGACCUGUGGCUCACAACAUAGUAUCAGCAUCCCAAGGUAGUGAAAAGUAGUGGGAGUUACAAUCACCCCAACACCAACAGCACCUCAAAAAAAAAAAGGAAUUCAUUCCUACCUGACAGAGUGAUGGACACACUCAGUUAUGCUUGGAUACAGUUUUCAAAAACAAUGCUUUGUGAUUCAUUUUUUCCCAUCUGUCUUCCAGCUGUUUCAUGUUUUUUUUUACAGCUUGUUUACAGUCCUCUCUGGCUGGCGAAUCUUUUAAACUGUGAAGAUCUGAAACAAAUAUAAGCACACACUGAGGGGUCCCUUUGGAAAGAAAAAAAAAAACACACUUGAUUGUUGUAAUCUGAUGACAUCUGGGAAAAGUGAACAUGUUGGUGGAGUUCUCUCUGUUUUUGGUUUUGAUGGUGUAUUACUAAACAGACGAUACAAGUUUGUAGAGUAUUUUCUGCUCAUUUUCUUGCAUUAUACUGAUUUGAUAUAUGUUUUUUUUUUUUUUUUGUGGACAAAGCUGUAAAGAAUGGAAUGAAAUGGAAACCCUGUCGGGACUUGAAUAUACCUGUCUGGCUAACACUUACCACCGCAGGGUAUGGUAAAUUAGCCUCUUUUUUUGUAAAUCAUGCUUAUUUCACCCUGAGUUGCAAGUUCAUGGUAGUUAGAGACAA
Anguilla anguilla (European eel) is the source of this 1634-nucleotide long non-coding RNA. RefSeq lists it as uncharacterized. The transcript has 2 exons. NCBI's taxonomy places the organism in Eukaryota, Metazoa, Chordata, Actinopteri, Anguilliformes, Anguillidae. The record is from RefSeq and is a predicted model, not a curated record.